CCCUCCUCCUCCUCCUCCCCCCUCUCCUCCUAAAAUCCUGUCCGGUGCGAUGGAGCCACAGCAGCAGCAGCACCAGCGCCAUCAGCAGCGCACUCAUGGACAUGGUCAGCAGCACCCCCUGCAGGACACCCGAGGACUUAUUGGAUCAGAGCACUGACGGGUGUGGACGGACAGACGGACCAGGCAGCUCUCGGUUCCCAGGAGGUUGGAGGCAGAGCAGCGAUACUGGCCCGAGGUCUGAGAGGAAACGUUGGCAAUUUGGACAGAGGCUGACAGAAGGUCCCCUGAGAGACAGAGACAGAAGAGACAGUGACGGUGACGAGACUGAGGACACGAGAGAAGAAGAAGAAGAAAAAAAAACAUUCCAGAGGUGAAAGUGGGACUUCCUCAGGACUGACUUUCUCCCAGUGGAUCUCUGGUGUUGGGACGCCCUCCAUCACCGAGCAGGACAGCGUGACUUGUCCUCCAACAUCUACGUCACCGGUCCACUGACACACCGGCAGAGAGGGCGGAGCUACAGACACGGAAGCAGCUGACACCAGUGCGGCCCGUCUGACUUCUGACCUGCAUUGGACUCUCCGGGCUGGACGACGGAACCAGAGUCCAGACGAUGUUGAGUCUGUGGAGCGGGGUGGAGGUAACAAAGAAACAGGGUCCAGAACAGCCAGUGUCCACAGGAACCCAUCACGAUGUCUCUCACUCCCUCUGUGGACUGGAUUUGUACAGGGGGGAGGAACGGAGGACCGGAGGUGAGGGUGGAGGGUGGGUGUUUACCAUAUCCAUAAAAAUGAAAAG
Cynoglossus semilaevis (tongue sole) is the source of this 795-nucleotide long non-coding RNA. RefSeq lists it as uncharacterized. The transcript is spliced from 5 exons. The record is from RefSeq and is a predicted model, not a curated record. Lineage: Eukaryota; Metazoa; Chordata; Actinopteri; Pleuronectiformes; Cynoglossidae.